This 691-nucleotide ribosomal RNA is filed under the name Salmonella enterica subsp. enterica serovar Agona. RNAcentral describes it as "partial 23S ribosomal RNA". It matches the Rfam family "Bacterial large subunit ribosomal RNA", at positions 1084 to 1693 of the family's 2925-position model. The record is from RNAcentral. Lineage: Bacteria; Pseudomonadati; Pseudomonadota; Gammaproteobacteria; Enterobacterales; Enterobacteriaceae. RNAcentral also lists the same sequence under 5 other names.
CCCAGACAGCCAGGAUGUUGGCUUAGAAGCAGCCAUCAUUUAAAGAAAGCGUAAUAGCUCACUGGUCGAGUCGGCCUGCGCGGAAGAUGUAACGGGGCUAAACCAUGCACCGAAGCUGCGGCAGCGAACGUAUCACUUAAAGCGAUUCAGCGGGUUACGAUUGACGGAGCGAAGCGACGUCAAAGCGUAUACAAAGUCGAGUCGGUUUAAGGAUACGUUCGUUGGGUAGGGGAGCGUUCUGUAAGCCUGUGAAGGUGGCCUGUGAGGGUUGCUGGAGGUAUCAGAAGUGCGAAUGCUGACAUAAGUAACGAUAAAGCGGGUGAAAAGCCCGCUCGCCGGAAGACCAAGGGUUCCUGUCCAACGUUAAUCGGGGCAGGGUGAGUCGACCCCUAAGGCGAGGCCGAAAGGCGUAGUCGAUGGGAAACGGGUUAAUAUUCCCGUACUUGGUGUUACUGCGAAGGGGGGACGGAGAAGGCUAUGUUGGCCGGGCGACGGUUGUCCCGGUUUAAGCGUGUAGGUGUGUGUUCCAGGUAAAUCCGGUUCACUUUAACACUGAGGCGUGACGACGAGGCACUACGGUGCUGAAGCAACAAAUGCCCUGCUUCCAGGAAAAGCCUCUAAGCAUCAGGUAACAUCAAAUCGUACCCCAAACCGACACAGGUGGUCAGGUAGAGAAUACCAAGGCGCUUGA